AGAGGAGACCACCACCGUGAUGUGUGCAUCAUACCUGUUUCGGCACAUGGGACUAAUCCUGCAAGUGCUGCUAUGUGUGGAAUGAAAAUUGUUGCUGUUGGAACUGAUGCCAAGGGAAACAUCAACAUUGAAGAGUUAAGGAAGGCUGCUGAAGCAAAUAAGGAAAACCUAUCUGCUCUUAUGGUAUGUAGGUUGGAGGGUAGGGUUGGUGUGAGAUCAUGCCUAUGAAAUAUCAAGUGUUCAUUGAUUUUGAUUUGAAUUUCAGGUUACAUAUCCUUCAACCCAUGGAGUCUAUGAAGAAGGGAUAGAUGAAAUAUGUAAGAUAAUUCAUGACAAUGGAGGUCAAGUUUACAUGG
Molecule: long non-coding RNA, 356 nt
Filed under: Vitis vinifera (wine grape)
Lineage: Eukaryota; Viridiplantae; Streptophyta; Magnoliopsida; Vitales; Vitaceae
Description: long non-coding RNA (VVIN_LNC000912)
Source: RNAcentral